UUAAGGGAGACCUACUAUCACUUGCAACCCGAAAAAAACGCAAGGAUUGAUAGACAUCCCAAGGUCGUGCCAGAGUAAGAGAGUAGAAGUAAUUUCCAACUAUUUAUCAGUGGUUCGUAAAAAAAAGCACCUUGAAAACUGCAUAGAAAAUAGGUAAAGAAAAGAUAUCGAAAAGAUAUCCAGGUGAAGGAAAAAACCAGGUCAAGCUACAAAGAGCUAACGGUGGAUACCUAGGCACACAGAGGCGAGG
This 250-nucleotide unclassified non-coding RNA is filed under the name Chroococcus turgidus CCIBt3508. Its description in RNAcentral is "partial contains 16S-23S ribosomal RNA intergenic spacer and 23S ribosomal RNA". Lineage: Bacteria; Bacillati; Cyanobacteriota; Cyanophyceae; Chroococcales; Chroococcaceae. The record is from RNAcentral.